UCUUCUCGUUCUUCCCCAUCACUUCUCCAGAAUCCCAAUUUCUCACAUCUCUAACCUAACAGAUUUGGGAAUUGGGGCAAUUGGCAUUUGACAAGAAGGAUUUCUGAGACUACUCAGAGUCUCAGACUAGCACCGAAAUUUCGUUGGGUUAUAAUAUUAUGGCUCCAAUUAGAAAAUAUCCUUCUGGUGCUCAAAAAAGAAAAGAGAAGCAAAAGAGAGAUGCAUUAGUUAAGCUUCAAGCCGGAUCUUUUAGUAAG
Rosa chinensis is the source of this 257-nucleotide long non-coding RNA. RefSeq lists it as uncharacterized. Lineage: Eukaryota; Viridiplantae; Streptophyta; Magnoliopsida; Rosales; Rosaceae. The transcript has 3 exons. The record is from RefSeq and is a predicted model, not a curated record.